Molecule: ribosomal RNA, 253 nt
Filed under: uncultured bacterium
Lineage: Bacteria
Description: partial 16S ribosomal RNA
Rfam family: Bacterial small subunit ribosomal RNA
Source: RNAcentral
UACGAAGGGGGCUAGCGUUGCUCGGAAUCACUGGGCGUAAAGCGCACGUAGGCGGCUUUCUAAGUCAGGGGUGAAAUCCUGGAGCUCAACUCCAGAACUGCCCUUGAUACUGAGGAGCUUGAGUCCGGGAGAGGUGAGUGGAACUGCGAGUGUAGAGGUGAAAUUCGUAGAUAUUCGCAAGAACACCAGUGGCGAAGGCGGCUCACUGGCCCGGUACUGACGCUGAGGUGCGAAAGCGUGGGGAGCAAACAGG